UGCGUAGGCGGUUUUAUAAGUCACUUGUAAAAGAUCUCAGCCCAACUGAGUAAGGCGAGUGAAACUGUAAGACUUGAAUAUGGUAGAGGUAAGUGGAAUUCCAUGUGUAGCGGUGGAAUGCGUAGAUAUAUGGAGGAACACCAAUGGCGAAGGCAACUUACUGGGCCAGAAUUGACGCUGAGGCACGAAAGCGUGGGGAGCAAACAGGAUUAGAUACCCUGGUAGUCC
This 228-nucleotide ribosomal RNA is filed under the name uncultured bacterium. Its description in RNAcentral is "partial 16S ribosomal RNA". It matches the Rfam family "Bacterial small subunit ribosomal RNA", at positions 568 to 796 of the family's 1533-position model. The record is from RNAcentral.